CCUUUCUCACUCUCAAAUCCAAGCAGCAUGGGAAACAUUUCAAGGUUUUCUGUUGCAACAUGAUUGUUUCUAAUGAUUCUGUUUCUUUUAAAGCCAAACAUCUUGUCACUUGACAUCAAAACAUUUUCUUCAGGACCUUGCAGAGACUUGUCCAACUGAUUCAUGAGAUGAAAAAUGUUUGCUAAGCAGUGUUGACCUUUUGUCGUUGACCUCCCCAUCAGAAGAACUGAGAAUGCACUUGUCGAAAUGAGCAGAGUCCUACCGCACACUGUCAUACAGACCUGUAAGACUGUUGAUGAAACUGCUGCUGGCCGUUCAGUAACAAUCCAUCACUGCAAGUGCCAACAUUGCAGGGAAUAAAAUGACCUACGAGCAGAGAGGUGA
RNAcentral lists this long non-coding RNA (384 nucleotides) under Callithrix jacchus (white-tufted-ear marmoset). RNAcentral describes it as "lncRNA (ENSCJAG00000085788.1)". Lineage: Eukaryota; Metazoa; Chordata; Mammalia; Primates; Cebidae. The record is from RNAcentral.